RNAcentral lists this ribosomal RNA (399 nucleotides) under uncultured bacterium. Its description in RNAcentral is "bacterial SSU rRNA". It matches the Rfam family "Bacterial small subunit ribosomal RNA", at positions 28 to 430 of the family's 1533-position model. The record is from RNAcentral.
GACGAACGCUGGCGGCGUGCUUAACACAUGCAAGUCGAGCGGUAAGGCCCUUUCGGGGGUACACGAGCGGCGAACGGGUGAGUAACACGUGGGUGACCUGCCUUUAGCUCUGGGAUAAGCCUGGGAAACCGGGUCUAAUACCGGAUAUGACUCCGCGGCGCAUGUUGUGGGGUGGAAAGCCUUGUGCGGCUGGAGAUGGGCCCGCGGCCUAUCAGCUUGUUGGUGGGGUGAUGGCCUACCAAGGCGACGACGGGUAGCCGGCCUGAGAGGGCGACCGGCCACACUGGGACUGAGACACGGCCCAGACUCCUACGGGAGGCAGCAGUGGGGAAUCUUGCGCAAUGGGCGAAAGCCUGACGCAGCGACGCCGCGUGAGGGAUGACGGCCUCGGUUGUAACG